RNAcentral lists this ribosomal RNA (433 nucleotides) under uncultured bacterium. RNAcentral describes it as "partial 16S ribosomal RNA". It matches the Rfam family "Bacterial small subunit ribosomal RNA", at positions 29 to 507 of the family's 1533-position model. The record is from RNAcentral.
AACGAACGCUGGCGGCAUGCCUAACACAUGCAAGUCGAACGAGACCUUCGGGUUUAGUGGCGCACGGGUGCGUAACGCGUGGGAACCUGCCCUUAGGUUCGGAAUAACUCCCCGAAAGGGGUGCUAAUACCGGAUAAUGUCUUCGGACCAAAGAUUUAUCGCCUUUGGAUGGGCCCGCGUUGGAUUACCUAGUUGGUAGGGUAAAAGCCUACCAAGGCGACGAUCCAUAGCUGGUCUGAGAGGAUGAUCAGCCACACUGGUACUGAGACACGGCCCAGACUCCUACGGGAGGCAGCAGUGGGGAAUAUUGGACAAUGGGCGAAAGCCUGAUCCAGCAAUGCCGCGUGAGUGAUGAAGGCCUUAGGGUUGUAAAGCUCUUUUACCCGGGAUGAUAAUGACAGUACCGGGAGAAUAAGCUCCGGCUAACUCCGUG